AGGUUGAGAAGUCCCCUACCGAAAGAGGUUGAGAAUUGUUUUGAUUACGCUCAUACCAGACGAGCUAUUAAGGUGGUUGUAUGUUUUGGCGCUCAUUACCAGACAGUAUAUGGGAACAGUUAUUUGAUUAUAAAAUAAAAGCUCGUGUCCAUAUAUAGUGGAGAACCUUAUGAACCUUCAGUGGCAUCGGUAGACAAACUAAAAUGAUAAAGGUUAAUUAUUGUUUGUCUUUUAGAAU
Molecule: long non-coding RNA, 238 nt
Filed under: Carica papaya (papaya)
Lineage: Eukaryota; Viridiplantae; Streptophyta; Magnoliopsida; Brassicales; Caricaceae
Description: long non-coding RNA (CPAP_LNC002374)
Source: RNAcentral